CAGUUAUUUAGUCCGUUUGGCCAGAUCUUGUUGACUUCAAGGUCGUCAUCUCCAAGAUCCAGUUCUUUGUCUGAGAUCACGCCAGAGGACUUGGCGGAAGCAACACAUGAUCAGGGAAAAGGGAAGUGGCCUUCAUCAUUAGCAUCUGAGAAACGUUCAAGAUCAUAGCUAGAUUUUGUGCAGUUUACAGCUUGGUGCAAAUUACGUGUCUAUUUUACAUGCAAAGCACUUGGUGGAAGCAACCUGAAGAGCCCAGUUGCCUUGUUCUAUGUUGUUAUACUUCUUUAUGCUAUCUCAAAUAAUUCAUCACAUCAUAUAAUUUUUGUGAUUGUUCAAAUCAUACAUAUCAUAUCUCGUUUGGGUUAUUGAAAGCAGCGGGAAUAGAGUUUGUGGUCAACCUGAAUUUUUCUUGAUU
Molecule: long non-coding RNA, 415 nt
Organism: Panicum virgatum (switchgrass)
Lineage: Eukaryota; Viridiplantae; Streptophyta; Magnoliopsida; Poales; Poaceae
Exons: 3
Source: RefSeq, a predicted model, not a curated record